Molecule: ribosomal RNA, 55 nt
Filed under: Ascochyta medicaginicola var. medicaginicola
Lineage: Eukaryota; Fungi; Ascomycota; Dothideomycetes; Pleosporales; Didymellaceae
Description: partial 18S ribosomal RNA
Rfam family: Eukaryotic small subunit ribosomal RNA
Source: RNAcentral
UUGAAGUAAAAAGCGUAACAAGGUUUCCGUAGGUGAACCUGCGGAAGGAUCAUUA